AGGAAUAUUGGUCAAUGGGCGAGAGCCUGAACCAGCCAAGUAGCGUGAAGGAUGACUGCCCUAUGGGUUGUAAACUUCUUUUAUAAGGGAAUAAAGUCACCCACGUGUGGGUGUUUGUAUGUACCUUAUGAAUAAGCAUCGGCUAACUCCGUGCCAGCAGCCGCGGUAAUACGGAGGAUGCGAGCGUUAUCCGGAUUUAUUGGGUUUAAAGGGAGCGUAGACGGGCCGUUAAGUCAGCUGUGAAAGUUUGAGGCUCAACCUUAAAAUUGCAGUUGAUACUGGCGUCCUUGAGUACGGUUGAGGCAGGCGGAAUUCGUGGUGUAGCGGUGAAAUGCUUAGAUAUCACGAAGAACCCCGAUUGCGAAGGCAGCCUGCUAAACCGCCACUGACGUUGAGGCUCGAAAGUGUGGGUAUCAAACAGGAUUAGAUACCCUGGUAGUCCACACGGUAAACGAUGAAUACUCGCUGUUUGCGAUAUACUGCAAGCGGCCAAGCGAAAGCGUUAAGUAUUCCACCUGGGGAGUACGCCGGCAACGGUGAAACUCAAAGGAAUUGACGGGGGCCCGCACAAGCGGAGGAACAUGUGGUUUAAUUCGAUGAUACGCGAGGAACCUUACCCGGGCUUGAAUUGCAGACGAAUUGCUUGGAAACAGGCAAGCCGCAAGGCGUCUGUGAAGGUGCUGCAUGGUUGUCGUCAGCUCGUGCCGUGAGGUGUCGGCUUAAGUGCCAUAACGAGCGCAACCCUCGUGUCCAGUUACUAGCAGGUUAUGCUGAGGACUCUGGACAGACUGCCAUCGUAAGAUGUGAGGAAGGUGGGGAUGACGUCAAAUCAGCACGGCCCUUACGUCCGGGGCUACACACGUGUUACAAUGGGGGGUACAGCAGGCAGCUACCGGGCGACCGGAUGCCAAUCCCGAAAGCCUCUCUCAGUUCGGACUGGAGUCUGCAACCCGACUCCACGAAGCUGGAUUCGCUAGUAAUCGCGCAUCAGCCACGGCGCGGUGAAUACGUUCCCG
This 1016-nucleotide ribosomal RNA is filed under the name uncultured bacterium. RNAcentral's name for it is "bacterial SSU rRNA". It matches the Rfam family "Bacterial small subunit ribosomal RNA", at positions 357 to 1376 of the family's 1533-position model. The record is from RNAcentral.